Elgaria multicarinata webbii is the source of this 514-nucleotide long non-coding RNA. RefSeq lists it as uncharacterized. NCBI's taxonomy places the organism in Eukaryota, Metazoa, Chordata, Lepidosauria, Squamata, Anguidae. The record is from RefSeq and is a predicted model, not a curated record. The transcript is spliced from 3 exons.
CAAUUGAGGAUUCAAGCGUGGGAACGCCGCUAUUCCCAUUUCUGCUGAGGUGGCCAUUCUCCAUUCAGCCACAGGAACAGUUCCCUAUUGCUUGCUUCCUUCCUAUCUUUUUUUUUUUAAAUCUCUCCAGGGUUGAACUUCAGCCCCUUUCGAAUCACAGCAGGCAGGAGAGAGAACAAAAUCGCUACGGCAAAAGGAACACCGUCGUGGCGCGAUCCUUUUUCUGUCGUCGUUUUAAACGGAGAAAUCGCAAAUCUUGCUGGCGAAGGGGGAAGAUUUACAGGGCACAAAGAAUCCCGAACGGGGCCUCCGAAAAACAACUGACUCAAUUCAUCAGGAAGUAUCGUUCUUGCAAGAUGCAUGUCAGAAAGUCAGAGGUGGGGAAAGCGAAAGAAACAAAACACAACAAAAAAGCAGAAGAGAGAACACAGUGUCCCAGGGAAGUAGACCUGGCCGGCCUCAGACCCCGGGAGGAUACAUGAGAGAUUCUCGCCGAGUUCUAAAAUGGCAGCCG